UCCCUGGUGGUCCACUGGCUAAGACUCUGCGCUCCCAAUGCAGGGGCCCAUGUUCAAUCCCUGCUCAGGGAA
This 72-nucleotide transfer RNA is filed under the name Ovis aries (sheep). It matches the Rfam family "tRNA". Rfam says of the family: Transfer RNA (tRNA) molecules are approximately 80 nucleotides in length. The record is from Rfam by way of RNAcentral. Lineage: Eukaryota; Metazoa; Chordata; Mammalia; Artiodactyla; Bovidae.